GGGGAAUUUUUCGCAAUGGGCGAAAGCCUGACGGAGCAACGCCGCGUGAGGGAUGAAGGCCUCUGGGCUGUAAACCUCUUUUAUCAAGGAAGAAGAUCUGACGGUAGUUGAUGAAUAAGCCACGGCUAAUUCCGUGCCAGCAGCCGCGGUAAUACGGGAGUGGCAAGCGUUAUCCGGAAUUAUUGGGCGUAAAGCGUCCGCAGGCGGUCUUGAAAGUCUGUCGUUAAAGCGUGGAGCUUAACUCCAUUUCGGCGGUGGAAACUACAAGACUAGAGUGUGGUAGGGGCAGAGGGAAUUGCCGGUGUAGCGGU
This 311-nucleotide ribosomal RNA is filed under the name uncultured cyanobacterium. RNAcentral describes it as "bacterial SSU rRNA". It matches the Rfam family "Bacterial small subunit ribosomal RNA", at positions 356 to 682 of the family's 1533-position model. Lineage: Bacteria; Bacillati; Cyanobacteriota. The record is from RNAcentral.